UGUUAGCGGCGGACGGGUGAGUAACACGUGGGUAACCUGCCUGUAAGACUGGGAUACUCCGGGAAACCGGAGCUAAUACCGGAUAGUUCCCUUGAACCGCAUGGUUCAAGGAUGAAAGACGGUUUCGGCUGUCACUUACAGAUGGACCCGCGGCGCAUUAGCUAGUUGGUGGGGUAAUGGCUCACCAAGGCGACGAUGCGUAGCCGACCUGAGAGGGUGAUCGGCCACACUGGGACUGAGACACGGCCCAGACUCCUACGGGAGGCAGCAGUAGGGAAUCUUCCGCAAUGGACGAAAGUCUGACGGAGCAACGCCGCGUGAGUGAUGAAGGUUUUCGGAUCGUAAAGCUCUGUUGUUAGGGAAGAACAAGUGCGAGAGUAACUGCUCGCACCUUGACGGUACCUAACCAGAAAGCCACGGCUAACUACGUGCCAGCAGCCGCGGUAAUACGUAGGUGGCAAGCGUUGUCCGGAAUUAUUGGGCGUAAAGGGCUCGCAGGCGGUUUCUUAAGUCUGAUGUGAAAGCCCCCGGCUCAACCGGGGAGGGUCAUUGGAAACUGGGAAACUUGAGUGCAGAAGAGGAGAGUGGAAUUCCACGUGUAGCGGUGAAAUGCGUAGAGAUGUGGAGGAACACCAGUGGCGAAGGCGACUCUCUGGUCUGUAACUGACGCUGAGGAGCGAAAGCGUGGGGAGCGAACAGGAUUAGAUACCCUGGUAGUCCACGCCGUAAACGAUGAGUGCUAAGUGUUAGGGGGUUUCCGCCCCUUAGUGCUGCAGCUAACGCAUUAAGC
RNAcentral lists this ribosomal RNA (790 nucleotides) under Bacillus safensis. RNAcentral describes it as "bacterial SSU rRNA". It matches the Rfam family "Bacterial small subunit ribosomal RNA", at positions 90 to 865 of the family's 1533-position model. The record is from RNAcentral. Lineage: Bacteria; Bacillati; Bacillota; Bacilli; Caryophanales; Bacillaceae.